UUGUAAUCUGAGCUUUAAAAAGUAGAUGAUGACAAAGCACCCCAAGAGAAGCUUAAGAAUUAAUGCAAAUAUUGAUCAGUUAUUUGGGGAUAAUGUGUUGCUCCAUCAAUAGUAAUAAAAGGCAGGUAAAGAUUGAUAAAAUGACAAGAAAGUUUCUUGAGGAAAGCAUGCAUACAGAUCCAUUUUUAAUUUUAGAGAUAUAGUAAUCCAUUUUCAUGUUAGUGCGCAAUAUGUUGUGGCUGAGGGAAAUGCUGUUAUGAUUAGUAGUUUAUGCAAGCAUUCUCAGCAAAAUGAAUUGAUUUCCUUACUUAUUUGAUUUGUGACCUUUGGAAUGCCUCAUGUUUUAUCUUUAAACAGGGCUUCAGAAUCAACUUUGGAAUAAUAGUUGGCACCUGGAACAGUAGGAAAAAUUGGGACUAUUUUUCACUGCAGAGAUCAUGACACCAUAUUUAUAAUUUAUUUUAUGAUUUAUAUUAUUAUUUUAGUGUUUACUAGCUAUGCCCGGCCCCGCAUUGCUGUGGUGAAGUAUGCUGGUAUGGGAAAUAAAGUAUUGAGGAAUUGGUGUAGUCAAGGUAAAGGGUAAAGGUUUUCCCCUGACAUUAAGUCCAGUCGUGUCUGACUCUGGGGGUUGGUGCUCAUCUCCAUUUCUAAGCCAAAGAGCCGGCGUUGUCCGUAGACACCUCCAAGGUCAUGUGGGAUGACUGUAUGGAGCACCGUUAUCUUCCUGCUGGAGCAGUACCUAUUAAUCUACUCUCAUUUGCAUGUUUUUGAACUUUAGGGUUGGCAGAAGCUGGGGCUAACAGUGGGGGCUCUCUCCACUCCCCCAAUUCAAACCUGCCACCUUUCGGUCCAGAAGUUCAGCAGCUCAGCGCUUUAACAUGCUGCGCCAUCAGGGGAUAUUAUUUCCUAAAGGUUGUGAAUAUACAAUAUUAUUCCUCUCCCUCUAAUUAGGACUUUAUUUUUCUUUUCUUUUUGUUGUAUCAACCUAGAGGCGGGGAUGAUGGGUUGUGUUGUCAGAUUUCGAGGUUGGGGGGCCUGUAGUUUUGUUGUUUUGUCGGUCGCUGGGAUUCCAUCACUCUUUUAUACAAGGGCUAUCCAGAAAGUAGGGUACGUUUUGGACAGCCCUCGUAUAUAUAGAUUUAAAAAAAACGAAACAGUGCAUCUGCAAAAAGUGAACCAUGAAGCAGCGAGGGAACACUGUAUUGAAAAGUAAUCUGGUAAUGAUAAUCUUUAAAUUUAUUAUGUGUAAAAUUAAUGCAUGGUCAUUUUACAUAGGAAACUACAGUAGAGUCUCACUUAUCCAACACUCGCUUAUCCAACGUUCUGGAUUAUCCAACGCAUUUUUGUAGUGAAUGUUUUCAAAAUAUCGUGAUAUUUUGGUGCUAAAUUCAUAAAUACAGUAAUUACUACAUAGCAUUACUGCGUAUUGAUCUACUUUUUCUGUCAAAUUUGUUGUAUAACAUGAUGUUUUGGUGCUUAAUUUGAAAAAUCAUAACCUAUAUUGAUGUUUAAUAGGCUUUUCCUUAAUCUCUCCUUAUUAUCCAACAUAUUCGCUUCUCCAACAUUCUGCCAGCCCGUUUAUGUUGGAUAAGCGAGGCUCUACUGUAUAUGGAAAUAUGUGUUUCUCAAAAAAUGCUACUUUCCCUGUACAUUAAAUUCUGCAGUUGGAGACUUAUUCAUCUG
Molecule: long non-coding RNA, 1683 nt
Filed under: Anolis carolinensis (green anole)
Lineage: Eukaryota; Metazoa; Chordata; Lepidosauria; Squamata; Anolidae
Description: lncRNA (ENSACAG00000037641.1)
Source: RNAcentral